UACGGAAGGGGCUAGCGUUGUUCGGAAUUACUGGGCGUAAAGAGCGCGUAGGCGGCUUACCAAGUUGGGGGUGAAAUCCCGGUGCUCAACUCCGGAACUGCCUUCAAAACUGGUAGGCUCGAGUCCGGGAGAGGGGCGUGGAAUUCCGAGUGUAGAGGUGAAAUUCGUAGAUAUUGGGAAGAACACCGGUGGCGAAGGCGGCGCGCUGGACCGGUACUGACGCUGAGGUGCGAAAGCGUGGGGAGCAAACAGG
This 253-nucleotide ribosomal RNA is filed under the name uncultured bacterium. RNAcentral describes it as "partial 16S ribosomal RNA". It matches the Rfam family "Bacterial small subunit ribosomal RNA", at positions 524 to 776 of the family's 1533-position model. The record is from RNAcentral.